RNAcentral lists this long non-coding RNA (763 nucleotides) under Coffea arabica (coffee). Its description in RNAcentral is "long non-coding RNA (CARA_LNC008206)". Lineage: Eukaryota; Viridiplantae; Streptophyta; Magnoliopsida; Gentianales; Rubiaceae. The record is from RNAcentral.
UCUACCAAAUAAUUGUUGGAUUUGAUCUGCUUAAAGUCUCCAAUUGGUCCUAAAAAUUGGGCUACUUGAUUCAGUUCACUAGGUAACAUGAAGGUAGGCCAUUGUUGAACCUCAGUUGAUGGUAUUAACAACUGGUAGAUGCGGCGAGGGCAAGCCAUCUGAUAAUGAAGAAGGUAGUUUGUCAAUUACCUUACCUACGAGUCUCAUUCCUCCAGUUAUGCGAUAAUUUAAACGUGCAGUCCCUUGAAGGGUUAAAUACCCAUGGGACACAAAAGGGUUGGUUUUAUUCCUAAAAACGGGAUUCCCUACGUGGCGUUCCCUUUCUAGGGUUUAUGCAUGAUGCUAUUUUAUUAAAACAAUAAAAUAUGCAAUUUGAAAUGAAACGUGACCUAAGGAACCCUUUAUUUGCCAGGGUAGGCCUAGAAUGGUUUGCAAUCAUUAAUCUACGAAUGCAAUAUACCAAAAUCUUUAAACGUGCAAUAACCUAUCUACAAGGGUAGGUUCUAAAAGAAAGUCAUGCCAGACCUCUUAUUUCCUAAUGUUUGUGAAUGCAAAAGACAAGAGACAAGGAAACGUGAGUUCAACACAUAAUCACAUAACACAUUUGGACAAAUAGAUAAGACAAUAAAGAUAAAUAAGGAAAGAGGGUUGGGACCCCUCCCCUCGUGAAUAGUGUCCCUAGUUCAGGAUAAGGCUGACUCUACCCUAGGCAAUUCUAAUAUGGAUGCAUGAGGCUUGGCUUACUAAUGCAUCUAGACUCGAU